Long non-coding RNA from Magnolia sinica, 1345 nucleotides. RefSeq lists it as uncharacterized. The transcript is spliced from 3 exons. The record is from RefSeq and is a predicted model, not a curated record. NCBI's taxonomy places the organism in Eukaryota, Viridiplantae, Streptophyta, Magnoliopsida, Magnoliales, Magnoliaceae.
AACGUAUGUGAUGUUGGGCAUGUUGUCUGGGGUCCAUUUCAUAUACUUCUUCCUUCCUUGAAGCUGGAUUGGCAAUGACCGCUUUCAACUAUGAUUGAAGAUCUCAUCUUUCCAAAUUAAAAAAGAAGAGAAAAAAUCCCGAAUUUUCUUUGUUCAUGAGAAUCAAUCAAAGAUUCAGCUUGUGGGUGUUGAGAUAGGCCUUUCAGCUUAGAAAUAUCAUAAACUAAAGUGGAAUUUUGUAGAGCUUGGAUCGUUGAAGCAAUUGAUGCAUAUGUUCCCUUGCAUGACUAAAUCUGGGGGAAAUUGCUCGAUGGGUUUGGUUUUUAGGCGUUGGGGUUUCUACAAAAAUGAAUUUGAUGGUUUUAAGGAUUUUAGCUGUCGAAACAACAAAUACGUAUGUUGUUUGAACAACGGACACACAGUGCAAAAUUGGAAUUGGAAUCUAUGCCGUUAAAUUGUUUUGUAUGUAGCGUGUGGGAUAAAAUCAAGUUAAAGAGGGUCUGAAGUUCCAAUAAUCGAAAUCCUUUUGAAAUAAGGAGUUACAGGAAAAAAAAUUCAAAUCAGAUCAAUUUGUAUUAACCAAAACUUCUUUUCGGCUACAAAUGUCUUUCCCUGUUGAUGCUAGACUAGAUGCAUCAGAGAGGCCUCCAUUUCAGGGAUUUGGCUUUACAGGCCUGAAGAAGAGAGGCCACGGAAGUCGGUCAUGGAUACAGAUUGAUCGGAAUGGGAACUCGCAUAUCCUAGCACUCGAUAAGACCACUCUAAUGAGGCGUUGCAAUCUGCCUGUGAGAGAUCUUUAGCUUUUAGACUCUUUGUUUGUGUAUCCUUCCAUGAUACUGGUCCGGGAGAAGGCGAUUGUCGUCAAUCUUGAACAAAUCAGAUGCAUGAUUACGGCAGAUGAGGUUAUCCUUAUGAGCUCUCUGGACAACUUUGUUGUGCAGUACCAAUCAGAACUGUGCAGGCGCCUUCAGACACAGAAAGAUCAAAAUGACCAUUGGUCUGAUGACUGUCGUUUUAGCAAGUUACAGAACUGGAAAUUGAUGUGUAUCCAGUACUAGACGAGUUAGCUUCGUCAAUCAGCACUCUUAAUCUCGAACGCGCGCGGAAGCAGAAGAGCCAUCUCCUUGCCUUAACUCGUAGAGUUCAAAAGUCAUGUACAUAAACUAUCGUUUGUCAAUCAUCACUGUCCAAUCGAGCUUUUGCAUGGCCCACUGACCUGUAUAUCCAGGUGCUCACCAUUCUAUCUGUCAAAUCAUUCAUAUAUGGUGGACCAUUUGUUGUAAUUAGUCUAUUUUUCAUCAAAUGGUCAGGAUAGUCUGAUUGGUGACAUAAUUCCCACUACAUC